RNAcentral lists this ribosomal RNA (478 nucleotides) under uncultured bacterium. RNAcentral describes it as "partial 16S ribosomal RNA". It matches the Rfam family "Bacterial small subunit ribosomal RNA", at positions 29 to 523 of the family's 1533-position model. The record is from RNAcentral.
AACAAACGCUGGCGGCGUGCCUAAUACAUGCAAGUCGAACGGGGAAAGCUUUCGGGUGAGUACUAGUGGCGCACGGGUGAGUAACGCGUGGAUAAUCUGCCUUAGAGUGGGGGAUAACUAGUCGAAAGAUUAGCUAAUACAGCAUAAGACCACAAGAACUGCGGUUCAAGGGGUCAAAGGUUUUUCGCUCUAAGAUGAGUCCGCGUAAGAUUAGCUAGUUGGUAGGGUAACGGCCUACCAAGGCGACGAUCUUUAACUGGUCUGAGAGGAUGAUCAGUCACACUGGAACUGAGACACGGUCCAGACUCCUACGGGAGGCAGCAGUAGGGAAUAUUGCACAAGGGAGGAAACUCUGAUGCAGCGACGCCGCGUGAGUGAUGAAGGCCUUCGGGUCGUAAAGCUCUGUCGCAGGGGAAUAACACAAUGAAGGUACCCUGUAAGAAAGGAUCGGCUAACUUCGUGCCAGCCGCCGCAGUAA